AUCUUUUGUUACUCCAUGGUUUAUUGAAAAUUCGAGAAGGCCCAAAUAGCAUUAACAUUAAUCAAUUUUCUAACUCUAGAAGAUAUUUCAAAGCUUGAGCACCCGAGAUCAAUCCUUGCGAAAUUAAGAUUAAGGCUUAAACUCAUUUCAUACAUGCAGCUGCGGAGGAUCAAGUCACUAGUAUUAUAGUGCAGUUACAACUCAAUAAGGUUUCAAGAAUUUAAGGAGUGCACUGCGUUGACAGACAGAGUAUGGGGAAGUUAUAGCUAAAAAGGGACUUGUGCAAUUGCGGUGCGUCCAGCUACUUAUAAAAAAGUUACUAUUUUGUGCAAAUGCGGUGCUUCCAAUGUGCAAAUGCGGUGCGUCCAGUUACGGCUAAAAAAGUGUCGAGGAGGGAAGUCGGGGACUUGCAAGACAUCAGUUCCCUGGAGAGCUUCUCGCAGCUUCUUCCAGCGCUCAACCAUCACAAACUGCCCAAACUCGAAGAAAUUAGUGGAGGUGGAGAUCAUCUCCAAGAUGCUGAUAGAUCUGGGUUGAGCUUCCUUGGACACCCCAAUGGUGCUGAUCUCCAAGAACUUCACCAUCAGUUUUGCCACGUGCGAGUCCUUCACUAUCGCCCAUCUUCACAUACACCAAAAAUGGAAAAUGAAACUAACCACAUAUAUAUAGAAACAAAUCAACAGAAGAUCACUUCUUUGUAAGAAAACCAAAGCAUUAUAAUUAAAUCAUCUACCCGAUCCUUGACCCCGUGUGUCCGGUGCAUUUGGACGUGGUGAAAAGCAUGAUGUCGUGAUCUGAAGGCUUCGUGAUGGCCGUCAACUAAGGCCAAUAGUAUGUAAGGUCAUGAACCAGCAUGCCAUUGUUUUAUUCACUACAGGCCCCCUUAGGCCGUCAUCAGGAUUGUUGGGGGAAGUGACCAUUUCGAUGUAAGGUUGAUCAUCACGGUCAUAAGCAUGAGCAUCGCCACCCCACUUGAACAGUCCUGAUCUCAUAUGUGUACAAUGUGUAAAACACACACCAAUAAUUGUUGCAUUCAUUCACAUGCCAAUAUUCAUGAGAAGAGGCAAAUGCAAACACAUGCGGCCAACAAAACACACUCUACACACACUGAAGAAUCCUAUUGCAUUCAUUCACAUGCCAAUAUUCAUGAGAAGAGGCAAAUGCAAACACAUGCGGCCAACAAAACACACUCAACACACACUGAAGAAUCCUAGUAGGUUAUGUGCACAACGUAUAAAAACAGACACUGCAUGCACAUAAUGAGAGAUCAUAAAACACAAAAAAGCUAAAUAAAAGCAAAAAUAAAGAAAAAUAGAAACAAUGCAUACUUAUCAAAAUCGAGAAUGGGAAUGGAUUGAAGGUUAAGGUUAGUGUGCAUCGACUCGGUAGUUUUGAUCGUUUCAACCUUCGUGGCCACCACCAUUACAACUGCAUCCACAUAAGCAGCAGCAACAGG
Long non-coding RNA from Salvia hispanica, 1456 nucleotides. RefSeq lists it as uncharacterized. The record is from RefSeq and is a predicted model, not a curated record. NCBI's taxonomy places the organism in Eukaryota, Viridiplantae, Streptophyta, Magnoliopsida, Lamiales, Lamiaceae.